GGUUGACCUCGGAUCAGGUAGGAAUACCCGCUGAACUUAAGCAUAUCAAUAAGC
RNAcentral lists this ribosomal RNA (54 nucleotides) under Exophiala dermatitidis. RNAcentral's name for it is "partial 28S ribosomal RNA". Lineage: Eukaryota; Fungi; Ascomycota; Eurotiomycetes; Chaetothyriales; Herpotrichiellaceae. RNAcentral also lists the same sequence under 3 other names. The record is from RNAcentral.